This 1619-nucleotide long non-coding RNA is filed under the name Papio anubis (olive baboon). RNAcentral's name for it is "lncRNA (ENSPANG00000038619.1)". The record is from RNAcentral. Lineage: Eukaryota; Metazoa; Chordata; Mammalia; Primates; Cercopithecidae.
CUGCGGUCUCCAGGGGUAGGGGACUCAGUCCCAGCUCACGGUCUCAGGGUGGGGGACUCGGUCAGCUCAGGGCUCAGGGGUCGGGGGACUCAGUCCCAGCUCCGCGGUCUCCAGGGGUCGGGGGACUCAGUCCCAGCUCAGGGGCUCCAGGGGUCGGGGACUCAGUCCCAGCUCAGGGGCUCCAGGGUCGGGGAUCGCAGUCCCAGCUCAGGGGCUCCAGGGUGGGGGACUCAGUCCCAGCUCAGGGUCUCCAGGGGUCGGAGGACUCAGUCCCAGCUCAGGGGCUCCAGGGGUCGGGGGACUCAGUCCCAGCUCAGGAGGCUCAGGGUCGGGGACUCAGUCCCAGCUCAGGGGCUCCAGGGGUCGGGGGACUCAGUCCCAGCUCAGGGUCUCCAGGGGUCGGGGGACUCAGUCCCAGCUCACGGUCUCCAAGGGUCGGGGGACUCAGUCCCAGCUCAGGGGCUCCAGGGGUCGGGGGACUCAGUCAGCUCAGGGGCUCGGGGGAGGUCGGGAACUCGGUCCCGGCUCACGGUCUCGGGGUUGGGACUCAGUCCCAGCUCAGAAGCAGGGGGCUCAGGGGUCGGGGACUCGGUCCCAGCUCAGGAGUCUCCAGGGUUGGGGAUCUGGUCCCAGCUCAGAAUCAGAAUUCGGAGGACUCAGUCCCAGCUCAGGGGCUCCAGGGGUCGGGGGACUCAGUCCCAGCUCAGGGUCUCCAGGGGUCGGGGGAUGCGGUCCCAGCUCAGGGGCUCCAGGUGUGGGAGCAGCCCAAAACCCCUCUCAGGCUGGGAUGAGGGGCCGGGCUAUGGGGCUUCAGGGGUCCUGCUCUCCCUCUGUGACUCUGUUCCUCUUCUCGGACUCCCACCUUCCACUGCUGCCUCUCUGCUCUGUCCUGUUCUCUCAUUUUUGUAGCUCAAAAAUGCCCCACCCUCUCCAGGUCCCUUCUGACUUCUAACUUUUCUCAGUUCAAGCAUCCAGAGAAGCCAGCCCACACCUCUGUGUUCCUGGUGACCAGGAAAGAAACUCGAUGUCCACCUCCUGGUGACCAGGAAAGAAACUCGAUGUCCAGCUCCUGGUGACCAGGAAAGAAACUCGAUGGGCUGGCCCUCCCAGGCUGCGUUCUAGUUUCUGGUGACUAGGAAAGAAACUCGAUGUCUAGUUUCUGAUGACUAGGAAAGAGACUCAAUGGGCCGGCUCCCCCAGGCCACUUGGCCAGGCGGGGUCCACCUGGACACCAUCACCAGUCAUGCUGAUGAGGGGCUAUGAGGCUCCGGGAUGGAGGCCACUGCCAACGUUGGCCCACGGGUGCUUGGAGCAGUAAGAACUGGCCCUCGGCUCCAGGUCCUCACCUGCGAAUCCAUGGGUGGGGAAGCCCACGGCUCCAGGUCCUCACCUGGGUCUCCCUCCCACCUCGCAGGGCAGCCCUGGGCCCUGGUGUGUGAGGCUGAGGCACGUGCCAGGGACGCUGUGGCACUCGGUGCUCCUGGGAAGGGAUGUCAUUGAGUCCCUCAAUUCCAACACCAUGGAGGAAAUCCCCUAGGAUGUGUCCUCCCAGACAUUCGGGGGCACCAACUCCUCGCUGGGUGAAGGGGCCUGAGCCCACCCGAGCCAGGGGCAGGCAC